UACGGAGGGUGCAAGCGUUAUCCGGAUUCACUGGGUUUAAAGGGUGCGUAGGUGGGCAGGUAAGUCAGUGGUGAAAUCUCCGGGCUUAACCCGGAAACUGCCAUUGAUACUAUCAGUCUUGAAUACCGUGGAGGUAAGCGGAAUAUGUCAUGUAGCGGUGAAAUGCUUAGAUAUGACAUAGAACACCAAUUGCGCAGGCAGCUUACUACACAGUAAUUGACACUGAGGCACGAAAGCGUGGGGAUCAAACAGG
Molecule: ribosomal RNA, 253 nt
Filed under: uncultured bacterium
Lineage: Bacteria
Description: partial 16S ribosomal RNA
Rfam family: Bacterial small subunit ribosomal RNA
Source: RNAcentral